GGGGAAUAUUGGACAAUGGGCGCAAGCCUGAUCCAGCCAUGCCGCGUGAGUGAUGAAGGUCUUAGGAUUGUAAAGCUCUUUCACCGGGGACGAUAAUGACGGUACCCGGAGAAGAAGCCCCGGCUAACUUCGUGCCAGCAGCCGCGGUAAUACGAAGGGGGCUAGCGUUGUUCGGAAUUACUGGGCGUAAAGCGCACGUAGGCGGACAUUUAAGUCAGGGGUGAAAUCCCGGGGCUCAACCCCGGAACUGCCCUUGAAACUGCAGUGCUAGAAUCUUGGAGAGGCGAGUGGAAUUCCGAGUGUAGAGGUGAAAUUCGUAGAUAUUCGGAAGAACACCAGUGGCGAAGGCGACUCGCUGGACAAGUAUUGACGCUGAGGUGCGAAAGCGUGGGGAGCAAA
This 399-nucleotide ribosomal RNA is filed under the name uncultured bacterium. RNAcentral describes it as "bacterial SSU rRNA". It matches the Rfam family "Bacterial small subunit ribosomal RNA", at positions 356 to 772 of the family's 1533-position model. The record is from RNAcentral.